AUUGAACGCUGGCGGCAUGCCUUACACAUGCGAGUCGAACGGCAGCACGGGUGCUUGCACCUGGUGGCGAGUGGCGAACGGGUGAGUAAUACAUCGGAACAUGUCCUGUAGUGGGGGAUAGCCCGGCGAAAGCCGGAUUAAUACCGCAUACGAUCUACGGAUGAAAGCGGGGGACCUUCGGGCCUCGCGCUAUAGGGUUGGCCGAUAGCUGAUUAGCUAGUUGGUGGGGUAAAGGCCUACCAAGGCGACGAUCAGUAGCUGGUCUGAGAGGACGACCAGCCACACUGGGACUGAGACACGGCCCAGACUCCUACGGGAGGCAGCAGUGGGGAAUUUUGGUCAAUGGGCGAAAGCCUGAUCCAGCAAUGCCGCGUGUGUGAAGAAGGCCUUCGGGUUGUAAAGCACUUUUGUCCGGAAAGAAAUCCCUGGCUCUAAUACAGUCGGGGGAUGACGGUACCGGAAGAAUAAGCACCGGCUAACUACGUG
RNAcentral lists this ribosomal RNA (486 nucleotides) under uncultured bacterium. RNAcentral's name for it is "partial 16S ribosomal RNA". It matches the Rfam family "Bacterial small subunit ribosomal RNA", at positions 30 to 507 of the family's 1533-position model. The record is from RNAcentral.